GGAUAAGCUCGGGAAACUGAGAAUAUACCCCAUAGUCCACUACGCCUGGAACGGUGAGUGGAUGAAAGCUCCGGCGGCAUAGGAUGGGCCUGCGGCGUAUCAGGUUGUAGGGGGUGUAACGUACCCUCUAGCCAUCCACGCGUACGGGUGUUGGGAGACAUUGCCCGGAGAUGGAUUCUGAGACACGAAUCCAGACCCUACGGGGUGCAGCAGGCGCGAAAACUUGGCAAUGCGAGAAAUCGUGACCAGGGAACUCCAAGUGGCAGGGGUAAGACCCUGUCUUUUUUCGACUCUAAAUAGGUCGACGAAUAAGGGGUGGGUAAGGACGGUGCCAGCCGCCGCGGUAAUACCGGCGCCUCAAGUGGUAGUCGCUUUUAUUGGGCCUAAAACGUCCGUAGCCGGUCUGGUACAUUCGUGGGUAAAUCAACUCGCUCAACGAGUUGCAUUCUGCGAGGACGGCCAGACUUGGGACCGGGAGAGGUGUGGGGUACUCUCAGGGUAGGGGUAAAAUCCUGUCAUCCUGAGAGGACCACCUGUUGCG
RNAcentral lists this ribosomal RNA (541 nucleotides) under uncultured rumen archaeon. Its description in RNAcentral is "bacterial SSU rRNA". It matches the Rfam family "Archaeal small subunit ribosomal RNA", at positions 124 to 668 of the family's 1478-position model. The record is from RNAcentral.